GUAGUCGUGACCGAGUGGUUAAGGCGAUAGAAUGAAAAAAAAAAAUAUGAUCUUCCCGCGCAGGUUCGAAUCCUGCCGACAACG
Molecule: transfer RNA, 84 nt
Filed under: Dreissena polymorpha
Lineage: Eukaryota; Metazoa; Mollusca; Bivalvia; Myida; Dreissenidae
Rfam family: tRNA
About the family: Transfer RNA (tRNA) molecules are approximately 80 nucleotides in length. Their secondary structure includes four short double-helical elements and three loops (D, anti-codon, and T loops). Further hydrogen bonds mediate the characteristic L-shaped molecular structure. tRNAs have two regions of fundamental functional importance: the anti-codon, which is responsible for specific mRNA codon recognition, and the 3' end, to which the tRNAs corresponding amino acid is attached (by aminoacyl-tRNA synthetases). tRNAs cope with the degeneracy of the genetic code in two manners: having more than one tRNA (with a specific anti-codon) for a particular amino acid; and 'wobble' base-pairing, i.e. permitting non-standard base-pairing at the 3rd anti-codon position.
Source: Rfam by way of RNAcentral